This is a long non-coding RNA of Drosophila willistoni, 1033 nucleotides long. RefSeq lists it as uncharacterized. The record is from RefSeq and is a predicted model, not a curated record. The transcript has 2 exons. Lineage: Eukaryota; Metazoa; Arthropoda; Insecta; Diptera; Drosophilidae.
UUAAAAAAAAUAGUAAAAAAUCAAAAACAUAAAAAAAAAUCUCUGCAACAUCAAUCGACGCUGCUCAACUUCAAGGAACGGUCUAUUCUCUUUAUAGCAAGUUUCUUCAUAUCGAUUUUCAUUAUCCAACCCAAAAAUGUUAAUCUGCUCAACUUCGAGGAACGGUCUAUUCUCUUUAUAGCAAGAUUCUUCAUAUCGAUUUUCAUUAUCCAACCCAAAAAUGUUGAUCCUCACAAAAAAUUGUUAGGACAAAACACACAUAUACGAUCUAUUUUGACUUGACAGUAAAUUAUAUUUUGAUACUAACUCAUUUGAUCCUUAUUUUUCUUUUAACUAUUGACUUUAUUCUUACAAAAAGAAGCUAAGGGAAUAUCAUAUCAUCGUCGCAACCGAACUCGCUGCGCUAAUUAUUGAUCAAGAAAAUAAUACACGUUAUACACCAAUCAGUUUUCUAACUUGAUUUAUUACAACAAUGCCACGAACACGCAGGGGGGCUAAUUUGAGUCGUCAAACAGAUCUAGAGGCAUGCAAGAUAGAAGAGCAAUAAGAUCAGAUGCAGAAAGGCAACAAAGUAAUGCAGAUGUCCGUGUAAGAAUGGCGCAGUUACGUGCAUCACAAUUACAAGAGGUACGAGAUGAGCGAAUCCAACAAAGACAAUUGGAACGAAGAGAAGCGCGCAGAUUCGUAGCCAACAGACGUAGAGGGAUUGACCAAUAUCAACAAGUACUUCGAGCAUUUACAUCACAUUCAUUUCUUCGACUAGCAUUUCAGUAUGAGCCUGAUGUUGAAUAUUACGCUGGAGUUUUAUAUUUUUCUGCCGUUCAAAUUUCGUGUCUUCGCUUUUAUCCAGGUGAAUGGUUGCUGCCCUGGCUAAAUUGAGAUUUUAUGACGUGUAUCCCAACCUGAACAGCAUAGUUUUCAAUGAUUUUUUUUGACAUGUGUUUGGAAAACUUAAUUAUUUCUGUUUUUUAAAUUUUUACUCUCUGUAUGUUUUUAUGAUCAUUAUAAUGAAAUACUUUUAUAUUUCUAUCUA